CCCGCUGGAACUUAAGCAUAUCAAUAAGCGGAGGAAAAGAAACCAACAGGGAUUGCCUUAGUAACGGCGAGUGAAGUGGCAAAAGCUCAGAUUUGAAAUCUGAUGUCAAUCUGGCAUCUGAGUUGUAAUCUGUAGAGGAGUAUUCAAGUAUGAUUUUGGCAUAAGUCUCUUAGAAUAGAGCAUCACAGAAGGUGAGAAUCCUGUCUAUAGUCAAAGUUUUAAUACUUAUAUGAAUCUCCUUCAAUGAGUCGAGUUGUUUGGGAAUGCAGCUCUAAAUUGGUGGUAAAUUCCAUCUAAAGCUAAAUAUUGGCAAGAGACCGAUAGUGCACAAGUAGAGUGAUCGAAAGAUGAAAAGAACUCUGAACAGAGAGUUAAAUAGUACGUGAAAUUGUUGAAAGGGAAGCACUUGCAACUAGAUAUAUUUAUAACUAAUCAAUUACUAUUUACUAGUAGUGCACUUAGUUGUAAAUAGGUCAAUAUGAGUUAUGAUCAGCAGGAAAAAGAUUGAUGGAAUGUAGCUCUCUUCGGGGAGUGUUAUAGCCAUUUAUUAAAUACUGUUAGUUAUUACUGAGGGCAGCACUGAAUAAGUAAGGAUAUUGGCAUAAUGGUUGUAAGUGACCCGUCUUGAAACACGGACCA
RNAcentral lists this ribosomal RNA (639 nucleotides) under uncultured fungus. RNAcentral describes it as "eukaryotic LSU rRNA". It matches the Rfam family "Eukaryotic large subunit ribosomal RNA", at positions 24 to 668 of the family's 3401-position model. The record is from RNAcentral. Lineage: Eukaryota; Fungi.